CCUACGGGAGGCAGCAGUAGGGAAUAUUGGACAAUGGGUGCGAGCCUGAUCCAGCCAUGCCGCGUGCAGGAAGACGGCCUUCUGGGUUGUAAACUGCUUUUGCCAGGGGAUAAAAAGUCCCUGCGGGGAAAAUUGAAGGUACCUGGUGAAUAAGCCACGGCUAACUACGUGCCAGCAGCCGCGGUAAUACGUAGGUGGCAAGCGUUGUCCGGAUUUAUUGGGUUUAAAGGGUGCGUAGGUUGUGUUGUAAGUCAGUGGUGAAAUCCGGCAGCUUAACUGUCGAUGUGCCAUUGAUACUGCAGCACUUGAGUACAGACGAGGUAGGCGGAAUUGACGGUGUAGCGGUGAAAUGCUUAGAUAUCGUCAAGAACACCGAUAGCGAAGGCAGCUUACUAGACUGUAACUGACACUGAUGCACGAAAGUGUGGGGAUCAAACAGGAUUAGAUACCCUGGUAGUCCACACUGUAAACGAUGAUUACUCGAUGUUGGCGAUACACGGCCAGCGUCUUAGCGAAAGCGAUAAGUAAUCCACCUGGGGAGUACGCCCGCAAGGGUGAAACUCAAAGGAAUUGACGG
This 577-nucleotide ribosomal RNA is filed under the name uncultured Ohtaekwangia sp. Its description in RNAcentral is "bacterial SSU rRNA". It matches the Rfam family "Bacterial small subunit ribosomal RNA", at positions 338 to 916 of the family's 1533-position model. The record is from RNAcentral. Lineage: Bacteria; Pseudomonadati; Bacteroidota; Cytophagia; Cytophagales; Fulvivirgaceae.